This is a non-coding RNA of Methyloceanibacter methanicus, 101 nucleotides long. It matches the Rfam family "Bacterial small signal recognition particle RNA". From Rfam's summary of the family: The signal recognition particle (SRP) is a universally conserved ribonucleoprotein involved in the co-translational targeting of proteins to membranes. Archaeal SRP consists of a 7S RNA and homologues of the eukaryotic SRP19 and SRP54 proteins. The record is from Rfam. Lineage: Bacteria; Pseudomonadati; Pseudomonadota; Alphaproteobacteria; Hyphomicrobiales; Hyphomicrobiaceae.
AGGGAGGUUGGCGGCAGGCGCGUGCCUCGCCAACCGGGUCAGGUCCGGAAGGAAGCAGCCCUAACGAGCGUUUCGCGGGUUGAUUGUCCAGCCUCCCACCU